RNAcentral lists this ribosomal RNA (618 nucleotides) under Triticum aestivum (bread wheat). RNAcentral's name for it is "partial small subunit ribosomal RNA". Lineage: Eukaryota; Viridiplantae; Streptophyta; Magnoliopsida; Poales; Poaceae. The record is from RNAcentral.
AUGAACGAAAGCUUCCCUUCCAUCCUAAAUUGGAACGUUCGCGGUCUUAAUUGUCCAAACCGUCACGCCGUCGUCCACGAGACCAUUGCCACGACCCCGUGCAACAUUGUUUGCCUCCAGGAGACCAAAUUGGCCGUGGUUGACCCCUUCCUGGCUGCCUUCCUUGGGGGCCAGAGAUUGAAAAGCUAUGCUAAAAAGCCCGCUGAUGGCACAAGAGGAGGCAUUCUUCUACUCUGGAAUGAGGACAUAAUCAAGGUGGACAAUAUUGCCACUGGAUCUUUCAGCCUAUCUGCAAACAUCACCCUGAUCAAUACCGCCACUUCUUUCAAGCUGACAUCUCGUAGCAAUCUCAAAGAUGCUUUAUUUCAAGAGCUUGUGCGCCUGAAACCUCAGCAAGGCAUGAGAUGGAUGGUGUCGGGUGAUUUCAACCAAAUUUAUUGUGCCCGGGACAAAAACCGCACAAAUGUUGAUCGUAGCCGCCUCGUGCGCUUCCGAAAUUCACUCAACACCUGUGAACUGAAAGAAGUUCACCUACAAAAUAGGAAAUUUACUUGGAGCAAUGAACAGGCCAACCCAACCUUGAGCAGAUUGGACCGUUUUUUCUGCAAUGAUGACUAG